UCCCUGAUGGCUCAGACAGUAAAGAAUCUGUCUGCAAUGCAGGAGACCCGGGUUCAAUCCCUGGGUAGGGAA
RNAcentral lists this transfer RNA (72 nucleotides) under Bos taurus (domestic cattle). It matches the Rfam family "tRNA". From Rfam's summary of the family: Transfer RNA (tRNA) molecules are approximately 80 nucleotides in length. RNAcentral also lists the same sequence under 6 other names. The record is from Rfam by way of RNAcentral. Lineage: Eukaryota; Metazoa; Chordata; Mammalia; Artiodactyla; Bovidae.